This 162-nucleotide unclassified non-coding RNA is filed under the name soil metagenome. Its description in RNAcentral is "partial contains 5.8S ribosomal RNA, internal transcribed spacer 2, and large subunit ribosomal RNA". The record is from RNAcentral.
AACGCACGAGACCUGCGGACCUGCGGAAGGAUCAUUACUGGUUCUAUACCAAACACGCCGGUGGUGUGGGUCUCCCUCACCACCUGCAGUCAAACAACACACUCUUGUACUGAAAAUGACUGAAUCACUAUUAAAAGAUACAACUUUCAACAAUGGAUCUCU